RNAcentral lists this ribosomal RNA (532 nucleotides) under uncultured bacterium. RNAcentral's name for it is "bacterial SSU rRNA". It matches the Rfam family "Bacterial small subunit ribosomal RNA", at positions 540 to 1070 of the family's 1533-position model. The record is from RNAcentral.
GUUGUCCGGAUUAUUGGGCGUAAAGAGCUUGUAGGCGGUUUGUCGCGUCUGCUGUGAAAGGCCGGAGCUUAACUCCGUGUAUUGCAGUGGGUACGGGCAGACUAGAGUGCAGUAGGGGAGACUGGAAUUCCUGGUGUAGCGGUGGAAUGCGCAGAUAUCAGGAGGAACACCGAUGGCGAAGGCAGGUCUCUGGGCUGUAACUGACGCUGAGAAGCGAAAGCAUGGGGAGCGAACAGGAUUAGAUACCCUGGUAGUCCAUGCCGUAAACGUUGGGCACUAGGUGUGGGGGACAUUCCACGUUUUCCGCGCCGUAGCUAACGCAUUAAGUGCCCCGCCUGGGGAGUACGGCCGCAAGGCUAAAACUCAAAGAAAUUGACGGGGGCCCGCACAAGCGGCGGAGCAUGCGGAUUAAUUCGAUGCAACGCGAAGAACCUUACCAAGGCUUGACAUAUACUGGACCGCAUCAGAGAUGGUGUUUCCCUUCGGGGCUGGUAUACAGGUGGUGCAUGGUUGUCGUCAGCUCGUGUCGUGA